RNAcentral lists this ribosomal RNA (528 nucleotides) under uncultured bacterium. Its description in RNAcentral is "partial 16S ribosomal RNA". It matches the Rfam family "Bacterial small subunit ribosomal RNA", at positions 355 to 895 of the family's 1533-position model. The record is from RNAcentral.
UGGGGAAUCUUGGACAAUGGGGGCAACCCUGAUCCAGCCAUGCCGCGUGGGUGAUGAAGGCCUUAGGGUCGUAAAGCCCCUUUCGCCGGGGAAGAUAAUGACGGUACCCGGUAAAGAAGCCCCGGCUAACUCCGUGCCAGCAGCCGCGGUAAUACGGAGGGGGCUAGCGUUGUUCGGAAUGACUGGGCGUAAAGCGCGCGUAGGCGGAUCGGAAAGUUGGGGGUGAAAUCCCGGGGGCUCAACCUCGGAAUGGCCUUCAAAACUCCCGGUCUUGAGUUCGAGAGAGGUGAGUGGAAAUUCCGAGUGUAGAGGUGAAAUUCGUAGAUAUUCGGAGGAACACCAGUGGCGAAGGCGGCUCACUGGCUCGACACUGACGCUGAGGUGCGAAAGCGUGGGGGAGCAAAACAGGAUUAGAUACCCUGGUAGUCCACGCCGUAAACGAUGAAUGCCAGACGUCGGGGGGCUUGCCCUUCGGUGUCACACCUAACGGAUUAAGCAUUCCGCCUGGGGGAGUACGGUCGCAAGAUU